UGAACCAGUGAUGAAAACUGGUGGCAUAGAAGUCAAGGAUGCUGAAUAAUGUGUGUCCAGAUCUCUGAGGUUCCA
Molecule: non-coding RNA, 75 nt
Organism: Callithrix jacchus (white-tufted-ear marmoset)
Lineage: Eukaryota; Metazoa; Chordata; Mammalia; Primates; Cebidae
Source: Rfam